GUGAGGAAUUUUCCGCAAUGGGCGAAAGCCUGACGGAGCAAUACCGCGUGAAGGAUGAAGGCCUAUGGGUUGUAAACUUCUUUUCUCAGAGAAGAAUAUUGACGGUAUCUGAGGAAUAAGCAUCGGCUAACUCUGUGCCAGCAGCCGCGGUAAGACAGAGGAUGCAAGCGUUAUCCGGAAUGAUUGGGCGUAAAGCGUCUGUAGGUGGCUUCAAAAGUCUCCUGUCAAAGAUCAGGGCUUAACCCUGGGCCGGCAGGAGAAACUCUGAGGCUAGAGUUUGGUAGGGGCAGAGGGAAUUCCCGGUGGAGCGGUGAAAUGCGUAGAGAUCGGGAGGAACACCAAAGGCGAAAGCACUCUGCUGGGCCACAACUGACACUGAGAGACGAAAGCGAAGGGAGCAAAAGGGAUUAGAAACCCUAGUAGUCC
This 426-nucleotide ribosomal RNA is filed under the name uncultured bacterium. RNAcentral describes it as "partial 16S ribosomal RNA". It matches the Rfam family "Bacterial small subunit ribosomal RNA", at positions 354 to 796 of the family's 1533-position model. The record is from RNAcentral.